Molecule: ribosomal RNA, 264 nt
Filed under: uncultured bacterium
Lineage: Bacteria
Description: partial 16S ribosomal RNA
Rfam family: Bacterial small subunit ribosomal RNA
Source: RNAcentral
UUCGAGUGGCGGACGGGUGAGUAACGCGUGGGUAACCUGCCUUACACAGGGGGAUAACACCUGGAAACAGGUGCUAAUACCGCAUAAGCGCACAGGGCCGCAUGGCCCGGUGUGAAAAACUCCGGUGGUGUAAGAUGGACCCGCGUCUGAUUAGCUUGUUGGCGGGGUAGGGGCCCACCAAGGCGAUGAUCAGUAGCCGGCCUGAGAGGGUGGACGGCCACAUUGGGACUGAGACACGGCCCAAACUCCUACGGGAGGCAGCAG